CAAUUUCAACAACGGAUCUCUUGGUUCUGGCAUCGAUGAAGAACGCAGCGAAAUGCGAUACGUAGUGUGAAUUGCAGAAUUCAGUGAAUCAUCGAAUCUUUGAACGCACAUUGCGCCCUUUGGUAUUCCAAAGGGCAUGCCUGUUCGAGCGUCAUUU
This 157-nucleotide ribosomal RNA is filed under the name Bipolaris peregianensis. RNAcentral's name for it is "5.8S ribosomal RNA". It matches the Rfam family "5.8S ribosomal RNA". From Rfam's summary of the family: 5.8S ribosomal RNA (5.8S rRNA) is a component of the large subunit of the eukaryotic ribosome. Lineage: Eukaryota; Fungi; Ascomycota; Dothideomycetes; Pleosporales; Pleosporaceae. The record is from RNAcentral.